GACGAACGCUGGCGGCGUGCUUAACACAUGCAAGUCGAACGAAGAGCGAUGGAAGCUUGCUUCUAUCAAUCUUAGUGGCGAACGGGUGAGUAACGCGUAAUCAACCUGCCCUUCAGAGGGGGACAACAGUUGGAAACGACUGCUAAUACCGCAUACGAUCUAAUCUCGGCAUCGAGGAUAGAUGAAAGGUGGCCUCUACAUGUAAGCUAUCACUGAAGGAGGGGAUUGCGUCUGAUUAGCUAGUUGGAGGGGUAACGGCCCACCAAGGCGAUGAUCAGUAGCCGGUCUGAGAGGAUGAACGGCCACAUUGGGACUGAGACACGGCCCAGACUCCUACGGGAGGCAGCAGUGGGAAUCUUCCGCAAUGGACGAAAGUCUGACGAAGCAACGCCGCGUGAGUGAUGACGGCCUUCGGGUUGUAAAGCUCGGUUAAUCGGGACGAAAGGCCUUCUUGCGAAUAGUGAGAAGGAUUGACGGUACCGGAAUAGAAAGCCACGGCUAACUACGUG
RNAcentral lists this ribosomal RNA (509 nucleotides) under uncultured bacterium. RNAcentral's name for it is "partial 16S ribosomal RNA". It matches the Rfam family "Bacterial small subunit ribosomal RNA", at positions 28 to 507 of the family's 1533-position model. The record is from RNAcentral.